AUCAAAUUGCUUUGCUCGUAGUUUAGCAAGUCUUUGCUUUGUGAUUCUGUGCAUCUGAAGUCACCUCAUUGUAAGGCUGCUGUUACCCUGACGGCAAUGACCUGGAUGGAGGGAGGCAAUGAGGGGGAUGAGUGCUGCGAAACGCCGCGGGAGGAAAUCUCAGACCUGCUUGGGUCUGCUUUGAACCUUCCACCUUUAAAAGGGAGAGACCUGAACAGGGGAGGAUAGAGCUCAUGCUUAGCAUACACAAGCUCCUGGGUUCAGUCCCCAGUAGCGCCACUAAAUUAAGUAAAUAAAUGACCCUAAUUACCUCUCCCCCUGAAAGAACAAAAUAAAUAAAAUAUUUUUUUUUAAAAAAAGGAAAGACUUCAUAACUAGGGGGGGAAAAAACCCGAAAGUGAAAAACAACAGCUAUUUGAGUCAGUACCUUAGCAAAUUGAAGUGACAGCUGUAAAACAUUUCACUUCUGACAAGAGAGCCCCUUUAGGGCAGGUAAUGAUCUGUUAAAUACCAGAAGAGCAGACCAAGGACCUGAAGACAUUUAACAGGGAGAAGAGGUGAGGUAGGAAGAGGGGGAGGAUGUGAGCUCUGCCUUCAGCUGGGGACGAAGACCAGGAGCAGGACCAGUGCAGAGAAUCACGGAGCGGCAUCUGGGAGCUCCCUUUGAUCCUUAGAGCCACCUGACAAUGGGAUGGCACCUUAGGAGCAAAAGGGAGCCCCCUGGCUCCAGGAACAGGUAAGCCUGGAUGGCCAUGUGACAGAAUCGCCAUAGUAAAGGGAAUUCUUAUAGCAGGCAAGAGCUGCAUUAGGGUCAAGGUUUUGCAGACUCAAAAAAAAAAAAAUCAGAACUCUUUCUUCAAGCGAGAUAGUACGCCAUGAUACUUAAAUUUAUAAAACAAAUCAAAGAGGGGCCAAUUCGGUGAUCCCGGGACACAUCCUCCUUGGAAUAUCCUAGGUGAGCACCGACGCCCCUUUCAAUGUGAGCUCCUCUUAUCCUGUGGUUCUUUAACCUCUUUUCAAACCAGAACUUUUCUCUCUUCUCUCCAGGCUUCUCUUGAGUUGCCCACGGCCUUCCUUGGAUGUGAUGUCACCAAAGUAGCAGUGGUCACAGGGGGUAGGGAAAGCUGGACUAUACGUGGCCCUCCCCGGGGACGGCGCUCUGGGGGCGCUUUCCGUGCUGAGCCGGGAUCGAGUGGCAGGCCAGGGCAGACUGUGAUUUGAGUUCCCCCGAGCAGGACACUCCUGUCUUUAGUCACCUUCGUGCAGAACGGGAAAACGGCAGGCAGAUCUAAAGCCUGAGCCAACAGGUAGACUUAAGUGGAACUGGUUUUCCAUUCUGUGAGAGACCUGCCUUGAAGGAAGCCCAGGAUGCUGUGUGGGCCUGCCCUGGUGGGGGUCUCAGAGGUGAAGAGGGGGGACUCCCUCUACUCUGAAGGGCCAAAUGCAAGAUGGCCCUGCUGUGGGCAGGGCUGGCAGCCAGGGCCCUCCCUUCUCUGCCCAGCAUUGCUGGCUCUUAGUCUGUUUUUCUCCCAACAGAACCAGAAUUUUUGUCAUAAAAUUCUUGGACUACUUGAGUUUCUGGAUUGUAAUGCCUUUAUUUUUUUUCACAGUGAUGAUAGCUCUAGUCUCGCUUAUAAACACCUAAAGGGCAGAAAAUGUUUUUCCCUCAGAAGAGCAAUGAAAAGAAAACGCCAAGGAGAUUUCAUCCCUCUUACUACAGCUUCUUCUCUGGUUGGCAAGAGUCACAGCUGUGACCUGAUUUUGUUUAUUUGAAAGGAAAGACAAUUGUUCAUUCACUCAACAAACAUUUACUGAACAGAGCUGCUGGGCUCCUGUUGGGCGUUGGGGAUAUUAAGUCAGCCCCAGCUCUGGAGGAGCCAUGAGUUGACAGGAUAAAUGGGAAAAUCAUGGUCCAGGCAUCCAUGUAUUGAAGGCAGUUGGUUUAAACAGGCUGCUACAUAGUCAGCCAGGUGAAUGAGAGAAGGAUGGAAAGCCUUCCAGACAGAGAACAGAGAAUGUGUAGGCAGCAUGAAGUCAGGGUAGAGAAACCGAGUCCCCCUAAAACUGAGCUCCCCUGCCGAGCUCAUGAUUAACCUCUCUGUCCAAAACUUUAUUCCCUCUGACCUCAGUCCUGUGCUAACUGAACACUAAUCAACCAGAUUGCUGUUGUUGAGAACAUUGUUAACCUGCAAGCUCAGGUUGUUUCUCCAGGGCAAGAUGAGCUAACAGACCCCAAGCCAUGGGCCACCUGGCCAGAGGAUCAUAAACCAGAGACAUCCUGACUCCUGAAGAAGUGUGGACCUGUCCCCCCGCAUGGAGAAGAGCAGGAGAUGUGCUGGGGAGAGAGGAGGGCAGCAGGUGGCUUGGUGAGCUGGACGACAUAAGAUCUGGAGCUGGAGGUACAGGACCAAAAGCACUGCAGGCCUCGGGUUGACGAGUGCUCUACCAGGGGCUUGCCCUGCAGGUUCCUGUCCUCGCAGCCGCCACCGCCGCCACCUGGGCGCUGCUGGGAGCUGGAGCUCUUGGGCAGUCAUGGCCUCCGAGAUCAGUCAGGACAGGCUGCCCAGCCUCUAUCCUCUUGAA
Molecule: non-coding RNA, 2583 nt
Organism: Vicugna pacos (alpaca)
Lineage: Eukaryota; Metazoa; Chordata; Mammalia; Artiodactyla; Camelidae
Source: RefSeq, a predicted model, not a curated record